AUUGAACGCUGGCGGCAUGCCUUACACAUGCAAGUCGAACGGUAACGGGCCUUCGGGUGCCGACGAGUGGCGAACGGGUGAGUAAUACAUCGGAACGUGCCCGAUCGUGGGGGAUAACGAGGCGAAAGCUUUGCUAAUACCGCAUACGAUCUACGGAUGAAAGCAGGGGACCGCAAGGCCUUGCGCGGACGGAGCGGGCGAUGGCAGAUUAGGUAGUUGGUGGGAUAAAAGCUUACCAAGCCGACGAUCUGUAGCUGGUCUGAGAGGAUGAUCAGCCACACUGGGACUGAGACACGGCCCAGACUCCUACGGGAGGCAGCAGUGGGGAAUUUUGGACAAUGGGCGCAAGCCUGAUCCAGCCAUGCCGCGUGCAGGAUGAAGGCCUUCGGGUUGUAAACUGCUUUUGUACGGAACGAAAAGCCUUCUUUUAAUACAGGAGGGUCAUGACGGUACCGUAAGAAUAAGCACCGGCUAACUACGUG
This 482-nucleotide ribosomal RNA is filed under the name uncultured bacterium. RNAcentral's name for it is "partial 16S ribosomal RNA". It matches the Rfam family "Bacterial small subunit ribosomal RNA", at positions 30 to 507 of the family's 1533-position model. The record is from RNAcentral.